This 73-nucleotide transfer RNA is filed under the name Ailuropoda melanoleuca (giant panda). It matches the Rfam family "tRNA". Rfam says of the family: Transfer RNA (tRNA) molecules are approximately 80 nucleotides in length. Their secondary structure includes four short double-helical elements and three loops (D, anti-codon, and T loops). Lineage: Eukaryota; Metazoa; Chordata; Mammalia; Carnivora; Ursidae. The record is from Rfam by way of RNAcentral.
GCCUGGCUGGCUCAGUUGGUAGAGCAUCUGACUCUUGAUCUCAGGGUUGUGAGUUUGAGCCCCAUGUUGGGUG